This 971-nucleotide long non-coding RNA is filed under the name Malus domestica (apple). RNAcentral's name for it is "long non-coding RNA (MDOM_LNC009614)". Lineage: Eukaryota; Viridiplantae; Streptophyta; Magnoliopsida; Rosales; Rosaceae. The record is from RNAcentral.
ACAAAUCUAUCAAAAUUCAAACGUGAAGAUCAGGAACUAAAAUUGCGUUUUAAUUAAAAGACACGCAUGCCUAAUUAACAUCACGGAGCAUAAAAUAAAAAAGUCUAACAAAUUCCAAUGUAAUUAACUAUAAAGUACAGAAUUCUGCCAAAAACAAGGACACGAAGCUAAAAUGUGUGCUCGAAUGAUGUGGGCCUUGGUAAAAACCUUCUUGAAGAAAACCAACUUCAACAUAGACCAACUUCUGUAUAUAUAUGGCGUUCACCACCUCCAUCAUUUCCAUAACCGCGACACUUUAGUAACAAUAUGUUCAAGGUUAACUCCAAACCACAGAAGAUAGUAAUUAAGAAACCUACACCAAAGAUAUAAAACAAAUUACUAAACCAAAAUAAACAACAGUAUCAGAACAUAAACCAAACUUAGAAAGAAAAAAAACAACUAUAAAUCAAGAUAAAUCGUACAACUCACCAACACUAGGAAUAAUUGACUCGGAGAAGACUUAUACAAAACCCGUAUGGCUGCCUCCAGCAUCGGGGUCGUGCAAUUGGAGUCCCAGCUUUCCUUUUGAAUUUUCGGACAUGAUUGUGUGAUGAUCGUACAUACUCCAUGAAGAAUUCGGUACUCGAAAAUAGGUCUUCGUACACUUACGAUGCCACAUAGUGAUGAUGCCAUCGCAUUCGCAGCUCCGUUGCAUAACUAUCUUCUUUGUUACAUUCUUAUCAGACUCCCAAGCAUCCAUCCUCAAUUCCAAUGCUCAAUCACUGGGAAAAAGGAAACAAAAUAUCCACUUUGAACAUGGAAAGAGGUUUCCUGCUUCGACCCCCAGACCACUAUUCCAAGGAGAGGAAGAUUCAAAUCUCUCCUAUGCUUACAGGGAGAUCAGGAAGGUCCGAACAGGGACGAAACGGCUAAUAACAAGAGGGACCUGCGGCCUGCCUAAACCAAUAUUCCUCGGUAUUCCAAAGAGAGGA